Molecule: ribosomal RNA, 810 nt
Filed under: Neohelicomyces pandanicola
Lineage: Eukaryota; Fungi; Ascomycota; Dothideomycetes; Tubeufiales; Tubeufiaceae
Description: partial 28S large subunit ribosomal RNA
Rfam family: Eukaryotic large subunit ribosomal RNA
Source: RNAcentral
GCCUCAGUAACGGCGAGUGAAGCGGCAAAAGCUCAAAUUUGAAAUCUGGCUCUUUCAGAGUCCGAGUUGUAAUUUGUAGAGGAUGCUUCGGCUUACGUUUCGGUCUAAGUUCCUUGGAACAGGACGUCACAGAGGGUGAGAAUCCCGUUUGUGGCCGAGACUUCCGCCAUGUGAAGCUCCUUCGACGAGUCGAGUUGUUUGGGAAUGCAGCUCUAAAUGGGAGGUAAAUUUCUUCUAAAGCUAAAUACCGGCCAGAGACCGAUAGCGCACAAGUAGAGUGAUCGAAAGAUGAAAAGCACUUUGGAAAGAGAGUUAAAAAGUACGUGAAAUUGUUGAAAGGGAAGCGCUUGCGACCAGACUUGCCCGCGGAUGCUCAACCGGUCCUUCGGCCGGUGCACUCUUCCGCGGUCAGGCCAGCAUCAGUUCGAGCGGUCGGAUAAAGGCCUUGGGAAUGUGGCUCUCUUCGGGGAGUGUUAUAGCCCUUGGUGUAAUACGGCCUGCUUGGACUGAGGCCCGCGCUUCGGCUAGGAUGCUGGCGUAAUGGUCGUAAGCGGCCCGUCUUGAAACACGGACCAAGGAGUCUAACAUCUAUGCGAGUGUUUGGGUGUCAAACCCGUACGCGAAAUGAAAGUAAACGGAGGUGGGAAUCUUCGGAUGCACCAUCGACCGAUCCUGAUGUCUUCGGAUGGAUUUGAGUAAGAGCAUAGCUGUUGGGACCCGAAAGAUGGUGAACUAUGCCUGAAUAGGGUGAAGCCAGAGGAAACUCUGGUGGAGGCUCGCAGCGGUUCUGACGUGCAAAUCGAUCGUCAA